CCUACGGGAGGCAGCAGUGAGGAAUAUUGGUCAAUGGGCUUACGCCUGAACCAGCCAAGUCGCGUGAGGGAAGACUGACCUAUGGGUUGUAAACCUCUUUUGUCAGGGAGCAAUUGGCGCUACGUGUAGCGUUAUCGAGAGUACCUGAAGAAAAAGCAUCGGCUAACUCCGUGCCAGCAGCCGCGGUAAUACGUAGGGGGCAAGCGUUAUCCGGAUUUACUGGGUGUAAAGGGAGCGUAGACGGCUAAUCAAGUCAGAAGUGAAAACCCAGGGCUCAACCUUGGGACUGCUUUUGAAACUGAGUAGCUAGAGUGCAGGAGAGGUAAGCGGAAUUCCUAGUGUAGCGGUGAAAUGCGUAGAUAUUAGGAGGAACACCAGUGGCGAAGGCGGCUUACUGGACUGUAACUGACGUUGAGGCUCGAAAGCGUGGGGAUCGAACAGGAUUAGAUACCCCUGUAGUC
This 461-nucleotide ribosomal RNA is filed under the name uncultured bacterium. RNAcentral's name for it is "partial 16S ribosomal RNA". It matches the Rfam family "Bacterial small subunit ribosomal RNA", at positions 338 to 795 of the family's 1533-position model. The record is from RNAcentral.